Long non-coding RNA from Alosa alosa (allis shad), 466 nucleotides. RefSeq lists it as uncharacterized. The transcript has 2 exons. NCBI's taxonomy places the organism in Eukaryota, Metazoa, Chordata, Actinopteri, Clupeiformes, Clupeidae. The record is from RefSeq and is a predicted model, not a curated record.
GCCAUUCUGUAGUCAGAAUCUCCCGCACCACUAAGGUGUGUAGUCAUCAUCCUCUGAGCUGAAAGGCAUGAAAGCAACCCUACUCUACAUGAAAUUGUUUCUCUGACAGAAGAAGAAUAACAGCAGCAUGCAGCCUGUGAUUGACUCACAACAGAAGGAAUACAAGAAGAAAUCCAGGGUGGCAUUCAGACCAUCUAUUAAAAUGUUCACUGUGGGCUCCAGCUGUGGCGCAACUGGCUGGGGUAUCUGCACCGUACACCAGCGACCGGGGUUCGAUUCCCACCCCGUGGUCCUUUCUGAAUCCCACCCCUGCUCUCUCUCCCAUUCGCUUCCUGUCACUCUCCACUUUCACUAUCAUUAAAGGCAUGAAAAGGCCUAUAAAGUAUAUGAAAAAUAUACUUUAAAAAAAAGAAAAUGUUUACUGUAGUCACAUGCUUCUUCAUCAAUUAAAAUGUUUUUGUAAGUG